RNAcentral lists this ribosomal RNA (394 nucleotides) under uncultured bacterium. RNAcentral's name for it is "bacterial SSU rRNA". It matches the Rfam family "Bacterial small subunit ribosomal RNA", at positions 355 to 766 of the family's 1533-position model. The record is from RNAcentral.
UCGGGAAUUUUGGGCAAUGGGCGAAAGCCUGACCCAGCAACGCCGCGUGAGGGACGAAGUAUUUCGGUAUGUAAACCUCGAAAGAAUGGGAAGAAUAAAUGACGGUACCAUUUAUAAGCUCCGGCUAACUACGUGCCAGCAGCCGCGGUAAUACGUAGGGAGCAAGCGUUGUUCGGAUUUACUGGGCGUAAAGGGCGCGUAGGCGGCGCGGUAAGUCACUUGUGAAAUCUCUGAGCUUAACUCAGAACGGCCAAGUGAUACUGCUGGGCUAGAGUGCGGAAGAGGGAACCGGAAUUCUUGGUGUAGCGGUGAAAUGCGUAGAUGACAAGAGGAACACCUGAGGCGAAGGCGGGUUGCUGGGCCGACACUGACGCUGAUGCGCGAAAGCCAGGGG